UAUUCUGUUAGUAAAUAUGGAUGUUCAAUAAUUAUUUCAUAAGGUACUUAAUCCAAUUCUUUCCUGCUUACUGACAUGAAGAUGUUUCAAAACUUUCAAAAAAAAAAAAGAAAAAAAGAUGUUUCAAAAUGCACAUAUUCAUCAAUUUGUUUUCUCAAUUCCUCUUAAAUUAAUCCUCUGUAGUUUUGGACGAUAAGCAGGCUGUCAAUGGAUCUGGGGAGUAUGAACCUAAAAGAAACUGGUAGUCAAUGUUCUUCUGCUCUACAAGAUGAGCUUCGACUUGCAGAGGAGAGGUUUGAGGAAGCAGAGGCAAUGCCAUAAUCCCAUACUCCCAGUUCGACCCAGUUCGAAAACUUGGUUGGAUGACAGACGUAGCUAAUGCCAUAAUCCCAACAUACCGAUGAUUGCAAUGCAUAUGCAUGUGCGGCUCAUAUUCGAUCAAGUGUAUAACAUCUCGACAAUAUGUGCGGUGCUUGCCUACAUUUAAUAGUGAUAAGCUCUUAGUAUCUGUCAUCUGAUGUAUGUCAUCAAUUUCAUGCGAUUGGCCUGCAAAUGAUGUACUGGACUUGUUGAUAUGUUGUAAUGUACAUGUGUAGAAUUUAGGUGGUCUUUAUUGAUGUGAUCAAAAUGUAAUUUUGUUAGUAAUGUGAUCAAAAUGUAAUUUUAUUA
Long non-coding RNA from Alnus glutinosa, 669 nucleotides. RefSeq lists it as uncharacterized. The record is from RefSeq and is a predicted model, not a curated record. Lineage: Eukaryota; Viridiplantae; Streptophyta; Magnoliopsida; Fagales; Betulaceae. The transcript has 2 exons.